RNAcentral lists this ribosomal RNA (501 nucleotides) under uncultured bacterium. Its description in RNAcentral is "partial 16S ribosomal RNA". It matches the Rfam family "Bacterial small subunit ribosomal RNA", at positions 28 to 507 of the family's 1533-position model. The record is from RNAcentral.
GACGAACGCUGGCGGCGUGCCUAAUACAUGCAAGUCGAGCGGACCGGAUUGGGGCUUGCCUUGAUUCGGUCAGCGGCGGACGGGUGAGUAACACGUGGGCAACCUGCCCGCAAGACCGGGAUAACUCCGGGAAACCGGAGCUAAUACCGGAUAACACCGAAGACCGCAUGGUCUUCGGUUGAAAGGCGGCCUUUGGGCUGUCACUUGCGGAUGGGCCCGCGGCGCAUUAGCUAGUUGGUGAGGUAACGGCUCACCAAGGCGACGAUGCGUAGCCGGCCUGAGAGGGUGACCGGCCACACUGGGACUGGGACACGGCCCAGACUCCUACGGGAGGCAGCAGUAGGGAAUCUUCCGCAAUGGGCGAAAGCCUGACGGAGCGACGCCGCGUGAGCGAAGAAGGCCUUCGGGUCGUAAAGCUCUGUUGUGAGGGACGAAGGAGCGUCGUUCGAAGAGGGCGGCGCGGUGACGGUACCUCACGAGAAAGCCCCGGCUAACUACGUG